Diceros bicornis minor is the source of this 990-nucleotide long non-coding RNA. RefSeq lists it as uncharacterized. Lineage: Eukaryota; Metazoa; Chordata; Mammalia; Perissodactyla; Rhinocerotidae. The transcript has 3 exons. The record is from RefSeq and is a predicted model, not a curated record.
AAGAGAUUUCUUAGAAUGAGAUUUAGAGUGUCUUGGCUUUAAGUUAGCACUCGCUCUUGCAUUGUGGACUAGAAUUCAAUAGUAGCUACUUCUGUGAAGAGAUAUAGAUUCAAACACUCCUUGGUUAUGUAGAUUCAAGUUUCAUCCUAGAGCAUUACCCUAAAACCUUCACGGUGGGCCUUGAUGAUCUAUUUUCAUAAUAUAUAUAGUAUAUUCAAAAAUGUAAAUUGUUUUUUUUUUUUUUGCAGGGAAAGAUUUGUCCUGAGCUAACAUCUGUUGCCAAUCUCCCUCUUUUUUUUUUUUCUCCUCCCCAAAGUCCCAGUGUAUGGUUGUAUAUCCUGGUUGUAAGUCCUUCUGGUUCUUCUAUGAGAACCGCUGCCACAGCAUGGCAACUGACAGAUGAGUGAUGUGGUUCCACGACCAGGACAUGAACACAGGCCGCCAAAGUGAGAUCCUGUGGAAGGAAGAGGCCUGAGCUCUAAUCCUGUUCUGACAUAGAGAGACAAAGAUGGCAUGCUGCAAGAAUUCAUUUCUUGGAGAAGGACAUUUCUUGUAGACUGGAUCACAGAAGCUUUUUGUGAGAGCAUAGCAGACUAGAUACACUGAGUGACACCCCUGUGAAAACAGCUAAGAAACAAGGAAAAAGAUUUUUAUAAGAAAUGGAACUGGCGAGAAGGUGGAGUAAUGAGAGACCAUAAACAACGUAAAAGCAUGUGCCCAGAGAGGAAAGUGGAGCCGUGAAGUCGGCUUUCAUGAAGAACACUUGUGGAACUGUGAGAGCCUCCUGAGGCAUAGAAGACGCGAGUCACAGCCCAGGGCCCUGGAAAGGCAAGGGUUCUAAAAAAGACACUUCUACCACUUGCACAAAGCUAGGACCCCAAGGGGCACACCCUUAGUUUAAGAAGGUACCUUAGUUUAAGGUGGUACCUUCUUAGCCUUGGGGGAGUGCAAGGGAAACUUUCUCAUUUUUUGCUGCUGAGUGGAGAGAAC